Molecule: ribosomal RNA, 506 nt
Filed under: uncultured bacterium
Lineage: Bacteria
Description: bacterial SSU rRNA
Rfam family: Bacterial small subunit ribosomal RNA
Source: RNAcentral
CUGGCUCAGGAUGAACGCUAGCUACAGGCUAACACAUGCAAGUCGAGGGGCAGCAUUGGAGUAGCAAUACUCAGAUGGCGACCGGCGCACGGGUGAGUAACACGUAUCCAACCUGCCGCUUACUCGGGGAUAGCCUUUCGAAAGAAAGAUUAAUACCCGAUGGUAUAAAGAGUUCGCAUGUUCUCUUUAUUAAAGAAUUUCGGUAAGCGAUGGGGAUGCGUUCCAUUAGAUAGUUGGCGGGGUAACGGCCCACCAAGUCUACGAUGGAUAGGGGUUCUGAGAGGAAGGUCCCCCACAUUGGAACUGAGACACGGUCCAAACUCCUACGGGAGGCAGCAGUGAGGAAUAUUGGUCAAUGGACGAGAGUCUGAACCAGCCAAGUAGGCGUGAAGGAUGACUGCCCUAUGGGUUGUAAACUUCUUUUAUAAGGGAAUAAAGUGAGGGACGUGUCCCUUUUUGUAUGUACCUUAUGAAUAAGGAUCGGCUAACUCCGUGCCAGCAGCCGC